This 248-nucleotide long non-coding RNA is filed under the name Elaeis guineensis (African oil palm). Its description in RNAcentral is "long non-coding RNA (EGUI_LNC001696)". The record is from RNAcentral. Lineage: Eukaryota; Viridiplantae; Streptophyta; Magnoliopsida; Arecales; Arecaceae.
AUCACACGAUUGGCUUUAGGACACAGUUUCCAACAAUUCAAAGAUCAUGUAAGCAAGUACAUAUUUCUAUCUUAUACAUCCUAUUUAAACAUAUUUACUAAUUAGGUGUCAUCUUCUUAGGUAUGGGGAUUAUCACUCGGUGAUGUGAGCUAUGAAGUGCGUGCUCUUUCAAUGGGACCUAAUUAUAUCAUGCGAGUACAAACAGCAUGUCAUUAAUGACUAUAGGUUCAAUAUUCACAAUCGAGACA